Molecule: unclassified non-coding RNA, 481 nt
Filed under: Hevea brasiliensis (rubber tree)
Lineage: Eukaryota; Viridiplantae; Streptophyta; Magnoliopsida; Malpighiales; Euphorbiaceae
Source: RNAcentral
AGUCAGAGGCAGUUCUUCAAGCUUGUUAAUGAAAAUCUUGCUUGGAUUUUCAGUUCCAGUACUAUAUUCAACAUCUGAUGCUUUUCCAGGAGAUCGUAGAGCAGUGAUCAGCCAGCCAGAACUUAUCAUUUGGGCAAUCUCCUCGUCUUUGUAACUGGAAACGACAUGCAUAUAACUUCCAGUAAUGUCGCCCCAUUCCAAAGAAACCUCACUUAUAAAGCUGUCUAUGGCUGAUGGCCUGAAGACAAAACAAUUGUAGGAAUAUAGUCUUGCGCUUUCUUGGAGGAGGCGCACCUUAGGAGCAGAAAGAUCCGGUCCAUAGGAUAUACCAGUGAAGAUGUUGGAGUAUCGAAGCUUGCGAAGAACAUAAUCAGCAUCAGGUCUAAGAGAGGGACUCCCAUUUUCAUCAUCACCGGAUUUCAACAGAAUUGAAGCGUCUAGCACAAUACCCUUCACUCCAUACAUUGUUCUUUCUGUGUUU